UGCCAGUGAUGACAAACUUCAUAUUUUCUGACACCUCGUAUGAGAGCUGAAACAGCUCCUGAUUCCACUGCUUUUCUGAGGCUC
Sphaeramia orbicularis (orbiculate cardinalfish) is the source of this 84-nucleotide small nucleolar RNA. Ensembl annotates it as small nucleolar RNA SNORD60. NCBI's taxonomy places the organism in Eukaryota, Metazoa, Chordata, Actinopteri, Kurtiformes, Apogonidae. The record is from Ensembl.